CACCAAGGCGACGACGGGUAGCUGGUCUGAGAGGAUGGCCAGCCACAUUGGGACUGAGAGACGGCCCAGACUCCUACGGGAGGCAGCAGUGGGGAAUCUUGCGCAAUGGCCGAAAGGCUGACGCAGCGACGCCGCGUGUGGGAUGAAGCAUUUCGGUGUGUAAACCACUGUUGCCCGGGACGAACAUCUGGUUUCGACCAGACUGACGGUACCGGGUGAGGAAGCACCGGCUAACUCCGUGCCAGCAGCCGCGGUAAUACGGAGGGUGCGAGCGUUGUCCGGAAUCACUGGGCGUAAAGGGCGCGUAGGUGGCGCGGGCAGUCAACGGUGAAAGUUCGGGGCUCAACCCCGAAUCGGCCGUCGAUACUCCCGGGCUCGAGCACUGUAGAGGCUAAUGGAAUUCCGGGUGUAGCGGUGGAAUGCGUAGAGAUCCGGAAGAACACCGGUGGCGAAGGCGGUUAGCUGGGCAGUUGCUGACACUGAGGCGCGACAGCGUGGGGAGCAAACAGGAUUAGAUACCCUGGUAGUCCACGCCGUAAACGAUGGGUACUAGGUGUGGGGGAGCGACCCCCUGAGUGCC
Molecule: ribosomal RNA, 580 nt
Filed under: uncultured bacterium
Lineage: Bacteria
Description: bacterial SSU rRNA
Rfam family: Bacterial small subunit ribosomal RNA
Source: RNAcentral